Molecule: transfer RNA, 74 nt
Filed under: Galaxias truttaceus (spotted mountain trout)
Lineage: Eukaryota; Metazoa; Chordata; Actinopteri; Galaxiiformes; Galaxiidae
Description: tRNA-Lys
Rfam family: tRNA
About the family: Transfer RNA (tRNA) molecules are approximately 80 nucleotides in length.
Source: RNAcentral
CACUAGGAAGCUUAAUCGGGUAAAGCGUUAGCCUUUUAAGCUAAAGAAUGGUAGCCCCCAACUACCUCUAGUGA